ACACAUGCAGUCGAGGGGUAGAGUUCUUCGGNNACUUGAGACCGGCGCACGGGUGCGUAACGCGUAUGCAAUCUACCUUAUACAGGGGAAUAGCCCAGAGAAAUUUGGAUUAAUGCCCCAUAGUGUUAUAGAAUCGCAUGGUUUUAUAACUAAAGUUCCAACGGUAUAAGAUGAGCAUGCGUCCCAUUAGUUAGUUGGUAAGGUAACGGCUUACCAAGACAAUGAUGGGUAGGGGUCCUGAGAGGGAGAUCCCCCACACUGGUACUGAGACACGGACCAGACUCCUACGGGAGGCAGCAGUGAGGAAUAUUGGUCAAUGGGCGCAAGCCUGAACCAGCCAUGCCGCGUGCAGGAAGACGGUCCUAUGGAUUGUAAACUGCUUUUAUACAGGAAGAAACCUCCCUACGUGUAGGGACUUGACGGUACUGUAGGAAUAAGGAUCGGCUAACUCCGUGCCAGCAGCCGCGGUAAUACGGAGGAUCCAAGCGUUAUCCGGAAUCAUUGGGUUUAAAGGGUCCGUAGGCGGCCUUAUAAGUCAGUGGUGAAAUCUCCUAGCUCAACUAGGAAACUGCCAUUGAUACUGUAGGGCUUGAAUUUUUGUGAAGUAACUAGAAUAUGUAGUGUAGCGGUGAAAUGCUUAGAUAUUACAUGGAAUACCAAUUGCGAAGGCAGGUUACUAACAAACGAUUGACGCUGAUGGACGAAAGCGUGGGGAGCGAACAGGAUUAGAUACCCUGGUAGUCCACGC
RNAcentral lists this ribosomal RNA (748 nucleotides) under unidentified microorganism. RNAcentral's name for it is "bacterial SSU rRNA". It matches the Rfam family "Bacterial small subunit ribosomal RNA", at positions 51 to 800 of the family's 1533-position model. The record is from RNAcentral.